GAUGAACGCUAGCUACAGGCUUAACACAUGCAAGUCGAGGGACCGGCGCACGGGUGAGUAACACGUAAACAACCUGCCCUUUACUCGGGGAUAGCCUUUCGAAAGAAAGAUUAAUACCCGAUAUAAAGGAUGGGGAUGCGUUCCAUUAGGUGGUUGGUGAGGUAACGGCCCACCAAGCCUUCGAUGGAUAGGGGUUCUGAGAGGAAUGUCCCCCACAUUGGAACUUAGACACGGUCCAAACUCCUACGGGAGGCAGCAGUGAGGAAUAUUGUUCAAUGGGCGUUAGCCUGAGCCAGCCAAGUAGCGUGAAGGAUGAAGGCUUAUGGGUCGUAAACUUCUUUUAUAUAAGAAUAUGUAUUAUAUGAAUAAGGAUCGGCUAACUCCGUGCCAGCCGCCGCGGUAAUAC
This 406-nucleotide ribosomal RNA is filed under the name uncultured bacterium. Its description in RNAcentral is "partial 16S ribosomal RNA". It matches the Rfam family "Bacterial small subunit ribosomal RNA", at positions 28 to 526 of the family's 1533-position model. The record is from RNAcentral.